RNAcentral lists this ribosomal RNA (433 nucleotides) under uncultured bacterium. RNAcentral describes it as "partial 16S ribosomal RNA". It matches the Rfam family "Bacterial small subunit ribosomal RNA", at positions 29 to 507 of the family's 1533-position model. The record is from RNAcentral.
AACGAACGCUGGCGGCAUGCCUAACACAUGCAAGUCGAACGAGACCUUCGGGUCUAGUGGCGCACGGGUGCGUAACGCGUGGGAACCUGCCCUUAGGUUCGGAAUAACUCCCCGAAAGGGGUGCUAAUACCGGAUAAUGUCUUCGGACCAAAGAUUUAUCGCCUUUGGAUGGGCCCGCGUUGGAUUAGCUAGUUGGUAGGGUAAAAGCCUACCAAGGCGACGAUCCAUAGCUGGUCUGAGAGGAUGAUCAGCCACACUGGGACUGAGACACGGCCCAGACUCCUACGGGAAGCAGCAGUGGGGAAUAUUGGACAAUGGGCGAAAGCCUGAUCCAGCAAUGCCGCGUGAGUGAUGAAGGCCUUAGGAUUGUAAAGCUCUUUUACCCGGGAUGAUAAUGACAGUACCGGGAGAAUAAGCGCCGGCUAACUCCGUG